GACUCCGUAGCUCAGCUGGUAGAGCAAAUGACUCUUAAUCAUUGGGUCGAGGGUUCGAAUCCCUCCGGGGUCA
Molecule: transfer RNA, 73 nt
Filed under: Bacteroidia bacterium 43-41
Lineage: Bacteria; Pseudomonadati; Bacteroidota; Bacteroidia
Also listed under: 1 other name
Description: tRNA-Lys
Rfam family: tRNA
About the family: Transfer RNA (tRNA) molecules are approximately 80 nucleotides in length.
Source: RNAcentral